RNAcentral lists this ribosomal RNA (765 nucleotides) under uncultured Streptococcus sp. Its description in RNAcentral is "bacterial SSU rRNA". It matches the Rfam family "Bacterial small subunit ribosomal RNA", at positions 28 to 776 of the family's 1533-position model. Lineage: Bacteria; Bacillati; Bacillota; Bacilli; Lactobacillales; Streptococcaceae. The record is from RNAcentral.
GACGAACGCUGGCGGCGUGCCUAAUACAUGCAAGUAGAACGCUGAAGAGAGGAGCUUGCUCUUCUUGGAUGAGUUGCGAACGGGUGAGUAACGCGUAGGUAACCUGCCUGGUAGCGGGGGAUAACUAUUGGAAACGAUAGUUAAUACCGCAUAAGAGUAGAUGUUGCAUGACAUUUGCUUAAAAGGUGCAAAUGCAUCACUACCAGAUGGACCUGCGUUGUAUUAGCUAGUUGGUGAGGUAACGGCUCACCAAGGCAACGAUACAUAGCCGACCUGAGAGGGUGAUCGGCCACACUGGGACUGAGACACGGCCCAGACUCCUACGGGAGGCAGCAGUAGGGAAUCUUCGGCAAUGGACGGAAGUCUGACCGAGCAACGCCGCGUGAGUGAAGAAGGUUUUCGGAUCGUAAAGCUCUGUUGUAAGAGAAGAACGAGUGUGAGAGUGGAAAGUUCACACUGUGACGGUAUCUUACCAGAAAGGGACGGCUAACUACGUGCCAGCAGCCGCGGUAAUACGUAGGUCCCGAGCGUUGUCCGGAUUUAUUGGGCGUAAAGCGAGCGCAGGCGGUUAGAUAAGUCUGAAGUUAAAGGCUGUGGCUUAACCAUAGUACGCUUUGGAAACUGUUUAACUUGAGUGCAAGAGGGGAGAGUGGAAUUCCAUGUGUAGCGGUGAAAUGCGUAGAUAUAUGGAGGAACACCGGUGGCGAAAGCGGCUCUCUGGCUUGUAACUGACGCUGAGGCUCGAAAGCGUGGGGAGCAAACAGG